Molecule: RNA transcript, 7380 nt
Organism: Fukomys damarensis (Damara mole-rat)
Lineage: Eukaryota; Metazoa; Chordata; Mammalia; Rodentia; Bathyergidae
Gene: Sbf2
Gene name: SET binding factor 2
Exons: 43
Source: RefSeq, a predicted model, not a curated record
ACUAACAGAUAUUGACUCCGAUCGACAUUACUGUUCAUGCUUAACCUUCUAUGAGGCCGAGAUCAAUCUUCAGGACAUAGAAAUGACCAAGAACAAGGGCAUGGGUCCUUGGUUUCCUUUGCUGAGAAAGAGUUGUAAUGAAUUUUUCAAGGGAACAAAGAAGGAAGACAUUGAAGGUGAAGAGGAAGUGUCUGGUUUAAUUCAACCUGCAGAAGUGUUUGCUCCCAAAAGCCUGGUGUUGGUAUCCAGAUUAGAUUAUCCAGAAGUUUUUAGGGCUUGCCUGGGUCUGAUCUAUACUGUGUAUGUGGACAGUCUGAAUGUCUCCUUGGAAAGCCUCAUUGCAAACCUUUGUGCCUGCCUUGUCCCUGCAGCUGGAGGGUCUCAGAAGCUGUUUUCCUUGGGUGCAGGAGACAGACAGUUGAUUCAGACUCCUUUACAUGAUAGUCUUCCUGUCACAGGCACUAGUGUGGCUCUCCUGUUCCAGCAGUUGGGAAUUCAGAAUGUCCUCAGCCUCUUUUGUGCAGUCCUUACAGAAAAUAAGGUUCUCUUCCAUUCUGCAAGUUUCCAGAGACUUAGUGAUGCCUGUAGAGCCCUGGAAUCUUUAAUGUUUCCUCUUAAAUAUAGCUAUCCUUAUAUUCCCAUUCUCCCAGCUCAGCUACUAGAAGUUCUAAGUUCUCCAACACCUUUCAUUAUUGGAGUACAUUCCAUCUUUAAAACUGAUGUCCAUGAACUUUUAGAUGUAAUCAUAGCAGAUUUGGACGGAGGCACUAUUAAAAUUCCCGAAUGUAUUCACCUCUCUUCCCUUCCAGAACCACUUCUACAUCAGACUCAAGCAGCUCUUUCUCUGAUUUUACACCCAGAUUUGGAAGUAGCAGAUCAUGCUUUUCCUCCUCCACGAACAGCUUUAUCUCACUCAAAAAUGCUGGAUAAAGAAGUCCGAGCAGUUUUCCUUAGAUUGUUUGCACAACUUUUCCAAGGAUAUAGAUCAUGCCUACAACUUAUAAGAAUUCAUGCAGAGCCAGUAAUACAUUUUCACAAAACAGCUUUCUUGGGGCAGCGUGGUUUGAUUGAGAAUGAUUUCCUCACUAAAGUACUCAAUGGAAUGGCAUUUGCAGGUUUUGUUUCUGAAAGAGGUCCUCCCUAUAGAACCUGUGAUCUCUUUGAUGAGUUGGUAGCUUUUGAAGUAGAGAGAAUUAAAGUUGAAGAAAAUAACCCAUUGAAGAUGAUAAAGCAUGUCAGAGAACUUGCUGAACAACUAUUCAAAAAUGAGAAUCCAAACCCUCAUAUGGCAUUCCAGAAAGUUCCACGCCCAACAGAAGGAUCACAUUUGCGAGUUCACAUUCUUCCUUUCCCAAAGAUUAACGAAGCCCUGGUUCAGGAAUUAAUACAGGAAAAUCUUGCCAAGAAUCAGAAUGCACCUCCUGCUACACGAAUGGAAAAGAAAUGUGUUGUGCCAGCAGGUCCACCUGUUGUUUCAAUAUUGGAUAAAGUGUCAACAGUUUUCAAUAGUGCACAAAGACUGGAAGUUGUUAGAAACUGUAUCUCAUUCAUAUUUGAGAACAAAACUUUGGAGACUGAAAAGACCCUUCCUGCUGCCCUGAGGGCCCUUAAAGGAAAGACAGCAAGACAAUGUCUCACAGAUGAACUGGGUUUGCAUGUCCAGCAAAACCGGGCAAUAUUGGACCAUCAACAAUUUGAUUACAUAAUAAGGAUGAUGAAUUGUACUUUACAGGAUUGUUCGAGUUUAGAAGAAUAUAAUAUUGCUGCAGCUUUACUCCCUUUGACUAGUGCUUUCUAUAGGAAACUUGCUCCUGGAGUCAGCCAGUUUGCUUACACCUGUGUACAGGACCACCCCAUUUGGACAAAUCAGCAGUUUUGGGAGACAACUUUUUACAAUGCAGUGCAGGAACAAGUCCGCUCCCUUUAUCUUUCAACAAAGGAAGACAAUCAUGUCCCACACCUGAAGCAAAAGGAUAAACUUCCUGAUGACCAGUAUCAAGAGAAGACGGCCAUGGACCUAGCAGCCGAGCAGCUGCGCCUUUGGCCCACUCUGAGCAAAUCAACUCAGCAAGAACUGGUGCAGCGCGAGGAAAGCAUUGUCUUCAGUCAGGCCAUUCACUUUGCAAAUCUCAUGGUCAACCUGCUGGUUCCACUAGACACAAGUAAAAACAAGCUCCUGAGAGCAUCAGCACCAGGUGACUGGGAGAGUGGAAGCAACAGCAUUGUCACAAACAGUAUUGCUGGCAGUGUGGCUGAGAGCUAUGAUACAGAGAGUGGGUUUGAAGAUUCAGAGAAUAAUGACAUUGCUAAUUCUGUUGUACGGUUCAUUACCCGAUUUAUUGACAAGGUUUGUACAGAAAGUGGAGUUACUCAAGAUCACAUCAAGAGCCUUCACUGUAUGAUACCAGGAAUUGUAGCUAUGCACAUUGAGACCCUAGAAGCAGUGCAUCGUGAGAGUAGAAGACUUCCACCUAUACAGAAGCCCAAGAUUCUAAGACCUGCUCUGCUGCCAGGAGAAGAAAUUGUAUGUGAAGGUCUUCGAGUUCUGCUUGAUCCUGAUGGCAGAGAAGAAGCCACUGGAGGUCUUCUUGGAGGCCCUCAGCUCCUGCCAGCAGAAGGAGCUUUGUUCCUCACCACGUACAGAAUUCUCUUCAGAGGCACACCUCAUGACCAGCUAGUUGGUGAACAGACAAUUGUGCGGAGCUUCCCCAUCGCCUCCAUUACCAAGGAGAAAAAGAUCACAAUUCAGAACCAACUACAACAGAACAUGCAAGAAGGAUUGCAGAUUACAUCAGCAUCUUUUCAGUUGAUUAAAGUAGCAUUUGAUGAGGAAGUCAGUCCAGAAGUAGUAGAGAUCUUUAAGAAACAGCUAAUGAAGUUCCGUUAUCCUCAGUCCAUUUUCAGCACCUUCGCUUUUGCUACUGGACAAACCACCCCACAAAUAAUUUUACCUAAACAGAAAGAAAAGAAUACUUCCUUUCGUACCUUCUCAAAAACAAUCGUGAAAGGUGCCAAAAGGGCAGGGAAAAUGACAAUUGGGCGACAAUAUUUAUUGAAGAGGAGGACAGGAACAAUUGUAGAAGAGAGAGUAAAUCGUCCUGGAUGGAAUGAAGACGAUGACAUAUCUGUUUCAGAUGAUAGUGAACUCCCCACAAGUACCCUGAAGGCCUCAGAGAAAUCUACAAUGGAACAGUUGGUGGAAAAAGCUUGUUUCAGAGACUAUCAGCGGUUGGGUUUGGGAACCAUAAGUGGCACCUCAUCCCGUUCAAAACCAGAGUAUUUCCGAAUCACUGCCUCCAACAGGAUGUAUUCUCUUUGCCGAAGCUAUCCUGGCCUUUUAGUGAUACCUCAAGCUGUACAGGACAGUAGUUUACCAAGAGUAGCCCGCUGCUAUCGACACAAUCGCUUGCCUGUUGUAUGUUGGAAGAGCUCAAGAAGUGGUACUCUGCUCCUUCGAUCUGGAGGAUUCCAUGGGAAAGGAGUUGUUGGUCUUUUCAAAUCUCAGAACUCCCCUCAGGCAGCUCCUACCUCCUCUUUAGAAUCUUCCAGUAGCAUAGAACAAGAAAAGUACUUGCAAGCCUUACUGAAUGCAGUUUCUGUCCAUCAGAAACUCAGAAGCAACAACACCCUUACUGUCAGGCCAGCACUUGCUCUGUCUCCAGGGACUGAAAGGAGGACUUCAAGAAUGUCCACUGUGCUUAAGCAGGUAGUGCCAGGACAUUUGGAUGUAAACCCAUCCAAUAGCUUUGCUCGAGGAGGUGUGUGGGCAAGUCUUCGCUCCAGCACUCGCUUGAUCAGCUCUCCAACAUCCUUCAUUGAUGUUGGCACCCGGCUGGCAGGCAAAGAUCACUCAACAUCCUUCAGUAAUAGCACCUACCUACAAAAUCAGCUCUUGAAACGCCAAGCAGCCCUUUAUAUAUUUGGUGAAAAGUCACAACUAAGGAGCUUCAAGGUAGAAUUUGCUUUAAAUUGUGAAUUUGUUCCUGUUGAAUUUCAUGAAAUCCGACAAGUGAAAGCCAGUUUUAAAAAGCUGAUGAGGGCUUGUAUCCCAAGCACCAUCCCUACUGACUCAGAAAUAACCUUCCUAAAGGCCCUGGGAGACUCUGAGUGGUUCCCACAGCUUCAUAGGAUAAUGCAGCUGGCUGUGGUGGUGGCAGAAGUACUCGAGAAUGGCUCCUCAGUCUUGAUCUGUUUAGAAGAAGGCUGGGAUAUCACUGCACAAGUGACCUCCCUGGUGCAGUUACUCAGUGAUCCCUUUUAUAGGACACUUGAAGGUUUCAGAAUGUUGGUUGAAAAAGAGUGGCUCUCUUUUGGUCAUAAAUUCAGUCAACGGAGCAGCUUGACCCUCAACUCUCAGGGUAGUGGUUUUGCUCCAGUCUUCCUACAAUUCUUAGACUGUGUACAUCAGGUUCACAACCAGUAUCCUACUGAGUUUGAAUUCAAUCUCUAUUACUUAAAGUUUUUGGCCUUCCACUAUGUAUCUAACCACUUUAAAACUUUUCUCCUGGAUUCAGACUAUGAAAGAUUAGAACAUGGAACUUUAUUUGAUGAUAAAGGAGACAAGCAUGCCAAGAAAGGAAUUUGUAUUUGGGAGUGUAUUGAUAAAAUGCAUAAGAGGAGUCCCAUUUUCUUUAAUUAUUUAUAUUCACCAGUGGAAAUAGAGGCCCUGAAGCCCAGUGUAAACAUCUCCAGCCUCAAGAAGUGGGAUUACUAUAUAGAGGAGACCCUGUCUGCAGGGCCUUCGUAUGACUGGAUGAUGCUGACUCCCAAGCACUUUCCCUCUGAAGAGUCUGAUCUGGCUGGAGGAGCUGGGCCCCAGACCCAGAGAAGGACAGUGUGGCCAUGCUAUGAUGAAGUCAGCUGUACUCAGCCCGAUGCUCUCACCAGCCUUUUCACUGAAAUUGAAAAAUUGGAGCAUAAAUUGAACCAAACCCCUGAGAAGUGGCAGCAGCUGUGGGAAAAGGUAACCAUGGACCUUAAAGAAGAGCCAAGAGCAGACCGUGUCCAGAGACGUCCUCCCGGAUCCCCAGGAAUUGUGCCUCCCAACCUACCUUCCUAUCAGAAGAGGCCGAUGCUGCACCUGCCCGACAGCAGCAUGAGCGAGGAACAGAACGCCAGCAUCUCACCUUCCAACGGAGUGGAGCGAAGGGCAGCCACGCUCUACAGCCAGUACACAUCCAGGAGCGACGAGAACAGGUCCUUUGAGGGAACACUUUACAAAAGAGGGGCUCUGCUGAAAGGCUGGAAAUCCCGUUGGUUUGUAUUGGAUGUAACAAAACAUCAGCUGCGAUACUAUGACUCGGGUGAAGACACAAGCUGCAAAGGCCACAUAGAUCUGGCUGAAGUAGAAAUGGUCAUCCCUGCUGGCCCCAGCCUGGGCGCUCCAAAACACACGAGUGACAAGGCUUUCUUUGAUCUCAAGACCAGCAAACGUGUAUAUAACUUCUGUGCCCAAGAUGGGCAGAGUGCCCAGCAGUGGAUGGACAGAAUCCAGAGCUGUAUCUCUGACGCCUGACACUGUGGAUAACCCAAGCAGAACAGGCCCGAGUGCAGAUGAGGGGCUGCAAGUUUGCACCCUGUGUUCCUUGUUUGGUUUCUGUGGUGACCAGCCCAUCUCCCAAAGCUAUCUGAGACCCUGCCCUGAAUGUCCAGGGGCUCAGGUGUGGUUGAAACCGGCACAUUAUGAAUAACGAGACGUACCCAUCACUCAGGAAAUUCCAAGAGUUUCAGGAACUCAAACCAGCCAGAAGAGGAAGUGGGGCAGCAGAUUGGCAGCACCUAUGGCCUUCAGCGUGAGGCCUCAGGAGACCUCGGCGAGCGCGGCACAAGGGUUGAGUGUCACUAGGAAGGUGGCCGCCCCUGCAGCUCAGAGGGCCAGGGAGGCCGUGGUCACAGUGUCCUCGAGAGCGUCCACCAGACAUCGUCAUCCCAUUUCAGAGUUCCAGGCCUCUCCUCCCCCGAGGGCCUUCAUAGCUACAGCCUCAGCCUUCUUUUUAUUUCACAUCACUAAAUCGUCCAGGCUGGGUUCAAACUUUCAAUCCUCCUGCCUCAGCCUCCUGGAGUGCUGGGUUUACAGGCCUGCACCCCCCGUCCUGGCUGAGUUCUGCAUCUCUUGAGAAUGGAUUUGCCUUUGUCAGGCUGAGAGCAGCCCUGGCCACAGAGUGGGCAGAGUGGGCAGCAGAGCAGCCGGGCCACUGGGUAGUAGUGAUCCCCACAGCCUGGCAUCUGGGAGGUGCGCGUCUACCGCUCCCACCAAGAGUCUAGGCAGGGACUGAGCCCCUGGAGCUCUUGACCAAAAGGAACAAGAGCAUCAUAUUCUCUCCCUGUGGUGAGUCUAUGCUGAGACUUCCAGCUCUGUCCUACUUCUGACCUUGGGUGGUUCAUCCGCUCUGGGCCUCACUUUCUUCACCCAUAAAUGGGGAUAAAAACAGAAAUGAUCCCAACUCAACAAUGGUUCAAUGGAUAGUGUGAAAGAGAUUCAAAUUCCAUAGAAAUCUUACUUCAAAUUCUGAAUCUUGAUCUUUUCCCAGGCUGUGGGUUUGUGGGUAUUAUCAGGGCUCCAUCCUGGAGCUCAGCCGUGGGGUGGAACCCACUAUGAAUGGGCUGGUCCCCAAAUCCAGUGUGUGCCCCGUCCACCACACACUGAUGCUCUGCACUGAUGCUGUCCUGGGUACACUGGACCCCAAACAGGCAGCCCCUGUCCUCCCUUGCACACAUGACUGCCAGUGUAGACAGAGCUGUGCUCAGUGAGGGCAGGCAGAGGCAGCGAGCUCAGUGCCAGACCUGGGGUCAGAGACGUCCUGAUCAGGGGCAUUUAUGCCAAGGAUUACAGGACCCAGACAUGGCUGAAAGUGAAAUGGAAGAAGGCAGAAAAAGUUGCUGCAGCUGUGACCCCCAUUUUAGAAAUAUCUGCCUGGCCAGGCAUGGGUGGGACCUUGGGAAAGGGGUGUGGUCCAGCCCGAGGCUUUUCUGGUUGUCCCAGCGGGGCUCGGUAGACAUAGGAGCUUCACACAGCCUAAAGUCAGGAGCAAAAUUGAGGGCCUAGCUGGUGGGAACAGAGUGGAGGAAAAGAGGCAGGGAUACCUGAGAAUGGCCCCGUCCUCAGAUGGCCAGGUGGGGAGCAGCCGGGUUCUGGCCCAGGCUUCACCAGCAGCCAGUGGGUCCUGAGGAACAGGGAGCUCAUGGAAAUUUUUCCCAGAGAUCAAAUGACCUUGUCCAAGGUCACAGCAGUGUAGGUGGAGCUGGGAUUUGAACUCAGGUCCAUCUGACUGCAUCUUGUGCUCCCCUCUUCUCCAGCAGGCCAGUCUGCAUGUAGAAACCCGAGUUCAGGGGAACUGUGACCCACUAUGUCACCGGGCCUCUUGGAAGGUCAUUCAAGGU